Molecule: small RNA, 166 nt
Filed under: uncultured Acetatifactor sp.
Lineage: Bacteria; Bacillati; Bacillota; Clostridia; Lachnospirales; Lachnospiraceae
Description: Clostridiales-1 RNA
Rfam family: Clostridiales-1 RNA
Source: RNAcentral
GAUGCCAGGGUCAAAAGGUCUAAGCCCACAUGAGCUUGCUCAUAAGUGGGUGAAAGACCUUAUGUCCCGCCCCGAUAUGAGCAUAAAAGCGGGAUGAUAAUCCCACGAUAUGCGAAUAUUGGGGCGGAUUGUGAGAGUGCGCAGCACGGAACAAUCCGUAGACAUC